Molecule: ribosomal RNA, 448 nt
Filed under: uncultured bacterium
Lineage: Bacteria
Description: partial 16S ribosomal RNA
Rfam family: Bacterial small subunit ribosomal RNA
Source: RNAcentral
AUGAACGCUGGCGGCAUGCCUAACACAUGCAAGUCGAACGAAGCCUUCGAGCUUAGUGGCGCACGGGUGCGUAACGCGUGGGAAUCUGCCCUUAGGUACGGAAUAACUCAGGGAAACUUGUGCUAAUACCGUAUGAUGUCGCGAGACCAAAGAUUUAUCGCCUAGGGAUGAGCCCGCGUUGGAUUAGCUAGUUGGUGAGGUAAAGGCUCACCAAGGCGACGAUCCAUAGCUGGUCUGAGAGGAUGAUCAGCCACACUGGGACUGAGACACGGCCCAGACUCCUAAGGGAGGCAGCAGUGGGGAAUAUUGGACAAUGGGCGAAAGCCUGAUCCAGCAAUGCCGCGUGAGUGAAGAAGGCCUUCGGGUUGUAAAGCUCUUUUACCCGGGAAGAUAAUGACUGUACCGGGAGAAUAAGCCCCGGCUAACUCCGUGCCAGCCGCCGCCGUAA